This 249-nucleotide long non-coding RNA is filed under the name Lathyrus oleraceus (garden pea). RNAcentral's name for it is "Pisum sativum (pea) long non-coding RNA (PSAT_LNC020418)". The record is from RNAcentral. Lineage: Eukaryota; Viridiplantae; Streptophyta; Magnoliopsida; Fabales; Fabaceae.
CAUCUUCUUCGUCGACUGCAGAGACUUGACCAUACUGAAUGAUGCCAGCACUGGAGAAAGUGAUCGGCCCCUGAAGUGUUGAAGUUGUAGAAGUCAGAGCUGGCUGGUAUCCAAUCCCGAACUUAUCUUCCUUAACUGGUAAUUCCAACAGACGUCCCCAACCGGGAGCAACACCUGAAUCCACCACGGCUUGUGCCUGCUUAAAGGAUGAGAUAGAGGCACCCGCUUUAACCUCUUCCACCGGAGCUG